Molecule: non-coding RNA, 73 nt
Organism: Podarcis lilfordi (Lilford's wall lizard)
Lineage: Eukaryota; Metazoa; Chordata; Lepidosauria; Squamata; Lacertidae
Source: the annotation of a GenBank genome assembly
UCUGAGAUAGGUCAGUCAGUAAAGCAUGAAACUUGUAAUCUCAGGGUUGUGGGUUUGAGCCCCACUUUGGGCA